Molecule: ribosomal RNA, 769 nt
Filed under: uncultured Bacilli bacterium
Lineage: Bacteria; Bacillati; Bacillota; Bacilli
Description: bacterial SSU rRNA
Rfam family: Bacterial small subunit ribosomal RNA
Source: RNAcentral
CGAACGCUGGCGGCGUGCCUAAUACAUGCAAGUCGAGCGAGCUUGCCUAGAUGAUUUUAGUGCUUGCACUAAAUGAAACUAGAUACAAGCGAGCGGCGGACGGGUGAGUAACACGUGGGUAACCUGCCCAAGAGACUGGGAUAACACCUGGAAACAGAUGCUAAUACCGGAUAACAACACUAGACGCGUGUCUAGAGUUUGAAAGAUGGUUCUGCUAUCACUCUUGGAUGGACCUGCGGUGCAUUAGCUAGUUGGUAAGGUAAUGGCUUACCAAGGCGAUGAUGCAUAGCCGAGUUGAGAGACUGAUCGGCCACAUUGGGACUGAGACACGGCCCAAACUCCUACGGGAGGCAGCAGUAGGGAAUCUUCCACAAUGGACGAAAGUCUGAUGGAGCAACGCCGCGUGAGUGAAGAAGGGUUUCGGCUCGUAAAGCUCUGUUGGUAGUGAAGAAAGAUAGAGGUAGUAACUGGCCUUUAUUUGACGGUAAUUACUUAGAAAGUCACGGCUAACUACGUGCCAGCAGCCGCGGUAAUACGUAGGUGGCAAGCGUUGUCCGGAUUUAUUGGGCGUAAAGCGAGUGCAGGCGGUUCAAUAAGUCUGAUGUGAAAGCCUUCGGCUCAACCGGAGAAUUGCAUCAGAAACUGUUGAACUUGAGUGCAGAAGAGGAGAGUGGAACUCCAUGUGUAGCGGUGGAAUGCGUAGAUAUAUGGAAGAACACCAGUGGCGAAGGCGGCUCUCUGGUCUGCAACUGACGCUGAGGCUCGAAAG